RNAcentral lists this unclassified non-coding RNA (196 nucleotides) under fungal sp. RNAcentral describes it as "partial internal transcribed spacer region". The stretch from base 1 to 46 matches the Rfam family "Eukaryotic small subunit ribosomal RNA", at positions 1786 to 1831 of the family's 1831-position model. Lineage: Eukaryota; Fungi. The record is from RNAcentral.
AAGUCGUAACAAGGUUUCCGUAGGUGAACCUGCGGAAGGAUCAUUACAAAUCUUAUGGAGUGGUAAUACUCGUUAUUACCACUACUAAUGUUCGGUGCCGCAAGGCGCUGUGACACUUGCUUGAUUGAGUUUGACAGAGUAAAUUCUUACGUUAAGAAAUGAAUGACAACUUUUAACAAUGGAUCUCUUGGCUCUU